Pecten maximus is the source of this 595-nucleotide long non-coding RNA. RefSeq lists it as uncharacterized. The transcript is spliced from 3 exons. Lineage: Eukaryota; Metazoa; Mollusca; Bivalvia; Pectinida; Pectinidae. The record is from RefSeq and is a predicted model, not a curated record.
UAAUUUGCCACCCAAGGCAUUGCGAUCUAAGAUUAGACGCAUCACAUCUCCAGACAAGUCAACCUGCUCACCAUGCAUCCCCAAGCAACAGGUUCCAAACCAGGCGAUGCCGUCAGCCUCGGUCCACCAUGUGGAACCAACACAUUCUGAGAAGUCAAAUGAUUCAAUUGAUGCUGGCAGUUUACUCUCGGUCAUUUAACAGCUGGAGACUGACCAGACAAAUGUGGAACCAUUACCCUGGGAAAAGACAGUCCACAGCAAAUCAACCCAUAUUCCCUCCGAAGACAAGUCCAAAUUAUCAUCAUGCAUGAUACCCAAUAUUUUGUAGGAAAUCAAACCAGAUCCCCAGGAAACCAAUGCAGCCACAAUCACGUCGGAGUCAAAGAUCCAGCCAGUUGAGGUUCAACUGACUGGCAAAAAUCAAGAAGCCAAAACAAAAGCAUCCUGGAACAAGAACAACAGAUCCACACCAACAGUGCUGGCCAGUCUCAAACCAGAAGACAAGUAACACCCUCUAGUUCCACCAAGAAACACCACAUAGGCUGUCAAGGUGUCCUCCUCCCAAGUUUAAACACAACUUCCGGUUCUGGUCUCU